Oncorhynchus tshawytscha (Chinook salmon) is the source of this 478-nucleotide long non-coding RNA. Lineage: Eukaryota; Metazoa; Chordata; Actinopteri; Salmoniformes; Salmonidae. The record is from Ensembl.
CGGCUCGCCACUGACAACACUGUAAUCAAAGAUGAUUCUAUGAUGAAUACAUUAUUAUUAAAAGAUGAGCUCAACGUUUUUAUUGGUGAAUCAAAUUAGAAUGAUUUAAUCAUACAGUGUUUUACAGUGGUGAAGUCAGCUUUAUAUUAAAGAUUCAGACUUUACUCUUCAAACCUCUUCAACGGAACAUGCAAGGUUGACUAGGCUACCGGGGGCGGCAGGUAUCCUAGUGGUUAGAGUGUUGGGUCAGUAACCAGCAGGUAUCCUAGUGGUUAGAGUGUUGGGUCAGUAACCAGCAGGUAUCCUAGUGGUAAGAGUGUUGGGUCAGUAACCAGCAGGUAUCCUAGUGGUUAGAGUGUUGGGUCAGUAACCAGCAGGUAUCCUAGUGGUAAGAGUGUUGGGUCAGUAACCAGCAGGUAUCCUAGUGGUUAGAGUGUUGGGUCAGUAACCAGCAGGUAUCCUAGUGGUUAGAGUGUUG